AUUGAACGCUGGCGGCAGGCCUAACACAUGCAAGUCGAACGGUAACAGGAAGCAGCUUGCUGCUUUGCUGACGAGUGGCGGACGGGUGAGUAAUGUCUGGGAAACUGCCCGAUGGAGGGGGAUAACUACUGGAAACGGUAGCUAAUACCGCAUAACGUCGCAAAACCAAAGAGGGGGACCUUAGGGCCCCUUGCCCUCGGAUGUGCCCCGAUGGGAUUAGCUAGUAGGUGGGGUAACGGCUCACCUAGGCGACGAUCCCUAGCUGGUCUGAGAGGAUGACCAGCCACACUGGAACUGAGACACGGUCCAGACUCCUACGGGAGGCAGCAGUGGGGAAUAUUGGACAAUGGGCGCAAGCCUGAUGCAGCCAUGCCGCGUGUAUGAAGAAGGCCUUCGGGUUGUAAAGUACUUUCAGCGGGGAGGAAGGGAGUAAAGUUAAUACCUUGGCUCAUUGACGUUACCCGCAGAAGAAGCACCGGCUAACUCCGUG
RNAcentral lists this ribosomal RNA (490 nucleotides) under uncultured bacterium. Its description in RNAcentral is "partial 16S ribosomal RNA". It matches the Rfam family "Bacterial small subunit ribosomal RNA", at positions 30 to 507 of the family's 1533-position model. The record is from RNAcentral.